RNAcentral lists this long non-coding RNA (848 nucleotides) under Daphnia pulicaria. Its description in RNAcentral is "uncharacterized LOC124340588, transcript variant X1". The record is from RNAcentral. Lineage: Eukaryota; Metazoa; Arthropoda; Branchiopoda; Diplostraca; Daphniidae.
UGAAAGUCGAUUGGGUAUUAUUUCUAUAGUUAUUUUUUUUCAAUAAUAAUUUGUCUAAUUAUCGUCAAUCGAUUUCAACAAGAUCUCCCAGUCCCAGCUGGCGUUUCGCAGCUAACGCUGUCAUCAGUUAAACGAACUUAUGGGAGAACCUGUAAAAAACCUACUAGUCACUGAAACCAGUAGAAGCUAGAAGAAGACAGUAUUGUCUCUACUGAAUAUGAGAACGAAAAAAAACGUCUGAGUGCCAUAUCUUUCGUUGAUUGUUGGGCCAUCUGUAGCCUGUCUAUCGAAUAUUGAUGCUUCUUCGACGACCCACAGUUACGAUUGAAGAUAGUCACAGUUCUGGAACUCUUUUGGGACAGCAGCGUCUCUAUAGAAUAUGACGAAAACGCCGCAAAUUUGAAGAAAAAGCGUGCCAUCGUUCAUUGUUGGACCGUCUUUAGCCAGUCUAUCGAAUAGUGAAGCUUCUUCGACUAGAUUACCCACAGUUCUGAUGGAAGAAAGUCGAAGUUCUAAUACUCCUGUAGGAGACAGCAUCGUCUCUAUUGAAUAUGACCAGAAUGACCCAGGAUCGAAGAAAAAGCAUAUAGUACCGCCGUUGAUUGUUGGACCAUCUCUAGCUUGUCUUAUUUUUCUUUUCAGAAUUAUCAUCCUGUUGGAGUAAUAUUGUAGGAUAGAAUAGAAGUCACUGUAUGUUAUCACCAAACGCUAUCAAUCUCCAGUAAAAGAAGUGCUGAUAGGUAGUUACUUACAUUUAAUUUUAACAAGAUCCGGUGUGACGUGGGGUGGCGGGGCGAAGCCUCCGCCGCACCAAAGUCACGCCUUACCCUUACGCCGCGCCAUAUCAU